RNAcentral lists this ribosomal RNA (437 nucleotides) under uncultured bacterium. Its description in RNAcentral is "partial 16S ribosomal RNA". It matches the Rfam family "Bacterial small subunit ribosomal RNA", at positions 28 to 507 of the family's 1533-position model. The record is from RNAcentral.
GAUGAACGCUGGCGGCAUGCCUAACACAUGCAAGUCGGACGGGCAGUGGUGUUUCCAGUGGCGCUCGGGUUAGUAACGCGUGAGAACCUACCCCUGGGAUGGGAACAAUAUCUGAAAACGGCUGCUAAUACACCGCAGGCUGAGUAGCAAAAGGAGUAAUCCGCCGGAGGAGGGGCUCGUGUCUGAUUAUCUAGUUGGUGCGUCUAUAGCUUACCAAGGCGAUGGACAGUAGAGGUUGCGAGAGGACGAUCAGCCACACUGCGACGGAGACCAGGAGCAGGCUACUACGGGCAGCAGCCGUGGGGAAGUUUCAGCAAUGCGCGGAAGGCUGACAGAGCAAUGCCGCGUGAAAGUAGAAGGCCUACGGAUCGUGAACUUCGUUUGCCGGAGAAGAAGCAAUGACGGUAUCUGGGCAAUAAGCAUCGGCUAACUCUGUG